CGGGCACUGAGACACGGGCCCGACUCCUACGGGAGGCAGCAGUAAGGAAUAUUGGUCAAUGGACGCAAGUCUGAACCAGCCAUGCCGCGUGAAGGAUGAAGGCCCUCUGGGUUGUAAACUUCUUUUAUCUGGGACGAAAAAAGGGAAUUCUUUCUCACUUGACGGUACCAGAAGAAUAAGCACCGGCUAACUCCGUGCCAGCAGCCGCGGUAAUACGGAGGGUGCAAGCGUUAUCCGGAUUUACUGGGUUUAAAGGGUGCGUAGGUGGGCAGGUAAGUCAGCGGUGAAAUCUCCGAGCUUAACUCGGAAACUGCCAUUGAUACUAUCUGUCUUGAAUAUCCUGGAGGUGAGCGGAAUAUGUCAUGUAGCGGUGAAAUGCUUAGAUAUGACAUAGAACACCAAUUGCGAAGGCAGCUCACUACGGGAUUAUUGACACUGAGGCACGAAAGCGUGGGGAUCAAACAGGAUUAGAUACCCUGGUAGUCCACGCCCUAAACGAUGGAUACUCGACAUCAGCGAUACACUGUUGGUGUCUGAGCGAAAGCAUUAAGUAUCCCACCUGGGAAGUACGAUCGCAAGAUUGAAACUCAAAGGAAUUGACG
Molecule: ribosomal RNA, 602 nt
Filed under: uncultured Bacteroidota bacterium
Lineage: Bacteria; Pseudomonadati; Bacteroidota
Description: SSU rRNA
Rfam family: Bacterial small subunit ribosomal RNA
Source: RNAcentral